UGGAGUUCCUCCUGCCGCUUCAGUAAUGAUCUAUUAAUUCCUAGCUAGUUAACUAGUUUUUGACAAUCUUAAUUACUGAAGGGUUUGGAGGAACUCUAAG
Molecule: microRNA precursor, 100 nt
Filed under: Aquilegia coerulea
Lineage: Eukaryota; Viridiplantae; Streptophyta; Magnoliopsida; Ranunculales; Ranunculaceae
Description: Aquilegia caerulea miR395a stem-loop (aqc-MIR395a)
Gene: aqc-MIR395a
Source: miRBase by way of RNAcentral